This 726-nucleotide long non-coding RNA is filed under the name Mus spretus (western wild mouse). Its description in RNAcentral is "lncRNA (ENSMSPG00010043408.1)". The record is from RNAcentral. Lineage: Eukaryota; Metazoa; Chordata; Mammalia; Rodentia; Muridae.
GAGGCAAGGCUGUCCUGCUGAGAAGAGAUUCUAAAUCCAGCUGGAAAAUGUCCCUCAGCAGGACCCACAGAGGAUAACAUUGAGAAAGGCAGUUUGACCUCCAGGUGGAGAGGGACAAGGCCUACUGUGUGAAGAAGAUGGUGGCCUCAUUCCCCUGCAGCUACCAGCUCCACAAGACAGGACAGUGUCCCCAAGAUGUACGUCUCAGCCAGGACCCCCAGAGCAGCCAGAAAGAGAUUGAGAGAAGCACACAGCCCCUCCCCAAGAUCCAGCACCCCCAUAUCACAGAAGGCUGCAGCUGUGGUUCUGUGGAGGAAAAGCAGGGCCCGAGAGUCCAGUCUCUCCUGGCAGUCAGUGCCCUUCCUGGGAUUCAAGAGAGAAACUUCCUUUUCCGCAGUCUAAUGUGGAAAAUGUCAGCCACCACACCUGGCCUGCCACACUUCCUUGAUGCUAUUGACAUUUAUAAUAGCAAGCAGGUUUUCUCCCUUUGGGUCAGGAGAUCAGAGUUCUUUGUUGGGAUUGAAAGCAUGAACGUGUCAUUUGAUGGGGCUUUGGACAGUGGUCAUGACAUGAAGAAUUAGGAAGCCAUAGGCUGGGAGGCAAGCACAGGAACAUGACCUGCAGAGGAAGGCCCAUGCACCUGCCACCAGGCAUCGAAGACCUCAAGGCCAUUCUCCGGUGAACCCAGAGGUGACAGACUGAACAGUGAAUUGCCAAGACCGAGGG